AACGAACGCUGGCGGCAUGCCUAACACAUGCAAGUCGAACGAGACCUUCGGGUCUAGUGGCGCACGGGUGCGUAACGCGUGGGAACCUGCCCUUAGGUUCGGAAUAACUCCCCGAAAGGGGUGCUAAUACCGGAUAAUGUCUUCGGACCAAAGAUUUAUCGCCUUUGGAUGGGCCCGCGUUGGAUUAGCUAGUUGGUAGGGUAAAAGCCUACCAAGGCGACGAUCCAUAGCUGGUCUGAGAGGAUGAUCAGCCACACUGGGACUGAGACACGGCCGACUCCUACGGGAGGCAGCAGCGGGGAAUAUUGGACAAUGGGCGAAAGCCUGAUCCAGCAAUGCCGCGUGAGUGAUGAAGGCCUUAGGGUUGUAAAGCUCUUUUACCCGGGAUGAUAAUGACAGUACCGGGAGAAUAAGCUCCGGCUAACUCCGUG
RNAcentral lists this ribosomal RNA (431 nucleotides) under uncultured bacterium. RNAcentral's name for it is "partial 16S ribosomal RNA". It matches the Rfam family "Bacterial small subunit ribosomal RNA", at positions 29 to 507 of the family's 1533-position model. The record is from RNAcentral.